Molecule: ribosomal RNA, 250 nt
Filed under: uncultured bacterium
Lineage: Bacteria
Description: partial 16S ribosomal RNA
Rfam family: Bacterial small subunit ribosomal RNA
Source: RNAcentral
UACGAAGGGGGCUAGCGUUGUUCGGAUUUACUGGGCGUAAAGCGCGUGUAGGCGGGCUGGAAAGUUGGGGGUGAAAUCCCGAGGCUCAACCUCGGAACUGCCUCCAAAACUUCCAGCCUGGACCCAAGUAGAGGCAAGUGGAAUACCGAGUGUAGAGGUGAAAUUCGUAGAUAUUCGGUGGAACACCAGUGGCGAAGGCGACUUGCUGGACUUGUGGUGACGCUGAGACGCGAAAGCGUGGGGAGCAAAC